Molecule: ribosomal RNA, 380 nt
Filed under: uncultured ascomycota sp. JK1-1
Lineage: Eukaryota; Fungi; Ascomycota
Description: partial small subunit ribosomal RNA
Source: RNAcentral
CCGUGUUGAGUCAAAUUAAGCCGCAGGCUCCACCCCUGGUGGUGCCCUUCCGUCAAUUUCUUUGAGUUUCAGCCUUGCGACCAUACUCCCCCUGGAGCCCAAGCACUUUGAUUUCUCGUAAGGUGCCGAACGGGUCAAAAAAUAACACCGUCCGAUCCCUAGUCGGCAUAGUUUAUGGUAAAGACUACGACGGUAUCUGAUCGUCUUCGAUCCCCUUACUUUCGUUCCUGAUUAAUGAAAACAUCCUUGGCAAAUGCUUUCGCAGUAGUUAGUCUUCAAUAAAUCCAAGAAUUUCACCUCUGACAAUUGAAUACUGAUGCCCCCGACUGUCCCUAUUAAUCAUUACGGCGGCCUAGAAACCAACAAAAUAGAACCGCACG